Molecule: long non-coding RNA, 187 nt
Filed under: Apteryx rowi (Okarito brown kiwi)
Lineage: Eukaryota; Metazoa; Chordata; Aves; Apterygiformes; Apterygidae
Description: lncRNA (ENSARWG00000009516.1)
Source: RNAcentral
UAGACUCUAACUCUGCUUUAAAGGAACCUGCACUGCGUGUGAAGAAGUUUUCUUCUAGAAAAAUGCAAGUGAAGGCUCAACAAGGCAUGUGAGGACUGGAAGAGUCAGCAUGAAACUGUCAGCUGCUUGUAGCUAACGCAAACUUACCAUGGAUCAACAUGCUAAGAUUGGAGGUUUAAUCCUGGAC